GACGGGACCGCACAAGCGGUGGAUGAUGUGGUUUAAUUCGAUGCAACGCGAAAACCUUACCCACCUUUGACAUGGCAGGAAUCCCGAAGAGAUUUGGGAGUGCUCGAAAGAGAACCUGCACACAGGUGCUGCAUGGCUGUCGUCAGCUCGUGUCGUGAGAUGUUGGGUUAAGUCCCGCAACGAGCGCAACCCUUGCCAUUAGUUGCUACGAAAGGGCACUCUAAUGGGACUGCCGGUGACAAACCGGAGGAAGGUGGGGAUGACGUCAAGUCCUCAUGGCCCUUAUAGGUGGGGCUACACACGUCAUACAAUGGCCGGUACAGAGGGUAGCCAACCCGCGAGGGGGAGCUAAUCCCACAAAGCCGAUCGUAGUCCGGAUCGCAGUCUGCAACUCGACUGCGUGAAGUCGGAAUCGCUAGUAAUCGUGGAUCAGCAUGUCACGGUGAAUACGUUCCCGGGUCUU
Molecule: ribosomal RNA, 463 nt
Filed under: uncultured Allobrachymonas sp.
Lineage: Bacteria; Pseudomonadati; Pseudomonadota; Betaproteobacteria; Burkholderiales; Comamonadaceae
Description: bacterial SSU rRNA
Rfam family: Bacterial small subunit ribosomal RNA
Source: RNAcentral